GCCAGACUCCUACGGGAGGCAGCAGUGAGGAAUAUUGGUCAAUGGGCGGAAGCCUGAACCAGCCAAGUCGCGUGAGGGAAUAAGGCCCUACGGGUCGUAAACCUCUUUUGCCGGGGAGCAAGGGCCGGGACGCGUCCCGGCCCGGAGAGUACCCGGAGAAAAAGCAUCGGCUAACUACGUGCCAGCAGCCGCGGUAAUACGUAGGGGGCAAGCGUUAUCCGGAUUCACUGGGUGUAAAGGGAGCGUAGACGGCGACGCAAGUCUGGAGUGAAAGCCCGGGGCCCAACCCCGGGACUGCUCUGGAAACUGCGUCGCUGGAGUACGGGAGGGGCAGGCGGAAUUCCUGGUGUAGCGGUGAAAUGCGUAGAUAUUAGGAGGAACACCAGUGGCGAAGGCGGCCUGCUGGGCUUUUACUGACGCUGAGGCUCGAAAGUGUGGGGAGCAAACAGGAUUAGAUACCCUUGUA
Molecule: ribosomal RNA, 466 nt
Filed under: uncultured bacterium
Lineage: Bacteria
Description: bacterial SSU rRNA
Rfam family: Bacterial small subunit ribosomal RNA
Source: RNAcentral